UACGGAGGGUGCAAGCGUUAAUCGGAAUUACUGGGCGUAAAGCGUGCGCAGGCGGUUUGUUAAGUCCGCUGUGAAAUCCCCGAGCUCAACUUGGGAAUUGCAGUGGAUACUGGCAAGCUGGAGUAUGGUAGAGGAAGGUGGAAUUCCCGGUGUAGCAGUGAAAUGCGUAGAGAUCGGAAAGAACACCAACGGCGAAAGCACUCUGCUGGGCCGACACUGACACUGAGACGCGAAAGCGUGGGGAGCAAACAGG
This 253-nucleotide ribosomal RNA is filed under the name uncultured bacterium. RNAcentral's name for it is "partial 16S ribosomal RNA". It matches the Rfam family "Bacterial small subunit ribosomal RNA", at positions 524 to 776 of the family's 1533-position model. The record is from RNAcentral.